UCUGGUGACUAUAGCAAGGAGGUCACACCUGUUCCCAUGCCGAACACAGAAGUUAAGCUCCUUAGCGUCGAUGGU
Molecule: ribosomal RNA, 75 nt
Filed under: Escherichia coli
Lineage: Bacteria; Pseudomonadati; Pseudomonadota; Gammaproteobacteria; Enterobacterales; Enterobacteriaceae
Also listed under: 4 other names
Source: RNAcentral